GACGAACGCUGGCGGCGUGCUUAACACAUGCAAGUCGAACGGAAAGGCCCUGCUUUUGUGGGGUGCUCGAGUGGCGAACGGGUGAGUAACACGUGAGUAACCUGCCCUUGACUUUGGGAUAACUUCAGGAAACUGGGGCUAAUACCGGAUAGGAGCUCCUGCUGCAUGGUGGUGGUUGGAAAGUUUCGGCGGUUGGGGAUGGACUCGCGGCUUAUCAGCUUGUUGGUGGGGUAGUGGCUUACCAAGGCUUUCACGGGUAGCCGGCCUGAGAGGGUGACCGGCCACAGUGGGACUGAGAUAGGGCCCAGACGGCUACGGGAGGCAGCAGGGGGGAAUAUUGCACAAUGGGGGGAAGCGUGAUGCAGCAACGCCGCGUGCGGGAUGACGGCCUUCGGGUUGUAAACCGCUUUAGGCUGUGACGAAGCUGGAGUGACGGUAAUGGGUAAAGAAGCACCGGCUAACUACGUG
Molecule: ribosomal RNA, 468 nt
Filed under: uncultured bacterium
Lineage: Bacteria
Description: partial 16S ribosomal RNA
Rfam family: Bacterial small subunit ribosomal RNA
Source: RNAcentral